This 981-nucleotide long non-coding RNA is filed under the name Equus caballus (horse). RNAcentral's name for it is "lncRNA (ENSECAG00000052346.1)". Lineage: Eukaryota; Metazoa; Chordata; Mammalia; Perissodactyla; Equidae. The record is from RNAcentral.
AGCUUCUGGGUUGGUGAACACGUGCAGAUUCUGGGAGAGUGGUGGGCACAGAGAGAACAGAAGCUUCACACCUCUUCCCACAUACCUUGCUCUAUGUGUCUCUCCCAUCUGGCUGUUCCUGAGUUAUAUCCUCUUAUAAUAAACCACUAAUCUAGUGGAUGUUAUUGUCCCUUAUGUUGCAUCGAGGCAGAUGACAUAGUCCUAGGGAUAAGAUGAGCUGCUUACAUUUGAAGUUAAAAUCAUACUUCUACCAACUUUGGUGUGUGAAAAACGGCACAGCAUUGGCACACUAUUGGAAAAGAGAAGCUUUAUUACAGAGAGGAACAAGAACUUAGAGCGACAAGAAACUCUAUGAACUAGGAGGCUCAGGAGUUCGUCGGGGAAGAGCCCCUUGGAUGAGAACAGGACCACUCCCUGGCCAGCGGAAUGGGAGCCCAUCAAAGAGACUCUUUUGGCUUCUUUUAUGGGAUGGAGGAAGAUGGUGCACUGAGUCUUCCUAAGAAAUGUACUACUCUUGAGUCCCAGAGACUGUCUUCUAUUUGUUUGUGCGUAAGGUCCAAAUGACUUUGUUUCUGCUCACAUUCAUUUCUGGUCCACAGAAUUUUUAAUUCAUUACGUUUCAUCUCAUAGAGCAUAAUGCUAACAGUGUCUUUAAACAUAGUUAGCUAUAAGAGGGCUAAUUUCUUAUCAAUGCCCAAAACUUCCUGUGAGAGGUUUGGCUGAUGAUUUCCCCCUUUCAUGUAAUAUAUAAGGUCAAAGUUUAAUAAAGUCCAGAGCCACACUCUAUAUGUCAUUUGGUAGUCUCUAGUCUAGAAUAUGUGUAUAUCCCAAUUUUUGAACAAUAAAAUUAUGAGGAAAAAGGACAUUGUAGUUGACUGGAUUGUUGGUUCUUUUUACAGACUCCUGAAGUUUUCUCUGUGUGUUACUUGGUGUCCGUGUCCCCAGCUCUGCAGUAAAAGUCUAAAGAAAAUGGAAUCCUUU